UCAACCAUCAAGCACUGCUUAGUAUUGGGCGUCGUCCCCCUGGGGACGUGCCUUAAAGGCCUCGGCGGCGGUUCAUAACCUCAAGCGUAGUAGAAUAUUUUAUUUAGCUUUCUAGGUUUUGGGCCGCUCUGCCUCGAGAAAACAUUCACCUCAA
RNAcentral lists this unclassified non-coding RNA (154 nucleotides) under uncultured Ascomycota. RNAcentral's name for it is "sequence contains ITS2". Lineage: Eukaryota; Fungi; Ascomycota. The record is from RNAcentral.